This 239-nucleotide unclassified non-coding RNA is filed under the name Hevea brasiliensis (rubber tree). The record is from RNAcentral. Lineage: Eukaryota; Viridiplantae; Streptophyta; Magnoliopsida; Malpighiales; Euphorbiaceae.
ACUCAUAAUGGUGUACGUUUCUCAGACAUAAUGGAAAAUUUCCUCAAGUUUCUAAAACUAAGAAAAUUUCCAAGCACCAUACUCUGAAGAUGUUAUUAACACACUAAAUGAGAAAUGGAUUCAAUUUAUUCUAACAUAGGAGCGAAAAGUAAUUUGUUUGACAGAAAAUGCUGUAGUUUACUUCAAUUUUAUGUUUGACCAUGCAAUCCCUGAAAGCUUUGAACAUUUGCUACUCUAAA